This 253-nucleotide ribosomal RNA is filed under the name uncultured bacterium. Its description in RNAcentral is "partial 16S ribosomal RNA". It matches the Rfam family "Bacterial small subunit ribosomal RNA", at positions 524 to 776 of the family's 1533-position model. The record is from RNAcentral.
CACGUAGGGCGCAAGCGUUGUCCGGAAUUAUUGGGCGUAAAGAGCUCGUAGGCGGUCUGUUGCGUCCGCUGUGAAAACUCGGGGCUUAACCCCGAGCCUGCAGUGGAUACGGGCAGACUAGAGGUAGGUAGGGGAGAAUGGAAUUCCCGGUGUAGCGGUGAAAUGCGUAGAUAUCGUGAGGAAGACCGGUGGCGAAGGCGGAUCUCUGGACAGUUCCUGACGCUGAGGCGCGAAGGCCAGGGGAGCAAACGGG